GAUGAACGCUGGCGGCGUGCCUAAUACAUGCAAGUCGAGCGAACAGACGAGGAGCUUGCUCCUCUCACGUUAGCCGCACACGUGUGAGUAACACGUGGAUAACCUCCCUGUAAGACUGGUAUCACUUCGGGAAACCGGCGCUAAUACCGUAUAAGAUAUUGAACCGUAUGGUUCAAUAGUGAAAGACGGUUUUGCUGUCACGUAUAGAUGGAUCCGCGCCGCUUUAGCUAGUUGGUGAGGUAACGGCUUACCAAGGGGACGGUGCGUGACCGACGUGAGAGGCUGAUCGGCCACAUGGGAGCUGAGACGGGGUCCAGACUCCUACGGGAGGCAGCAGUAGGGAAUCGGCGGCAAUGGGCGAAAGCCUGACGGAGCAGCGCCGCGUGAGUGAUGAAGGUCUUCGGAUCGUAAAAAUCGGUUAUUAGGGAAGAACAACUGUGUAAGUAACUAUGCACGGCUUGACGGUAACUAAUCAGAAAGCCACGGCUAACUACGUG
This 497-nucleotide ribosomal RNA is filed under the name uncultured bacterium. RNAcentral describes it as "partial 16S ribosomal RNA". It matches the Rfam family "Bacterial small subunit ribosomal RNA", at positions 28 to 507 of the family's 1533-position model. The record is from RNAcentral.